RNAcentral lists this signal recognition particle RNA (102 nucleotides) under Intestinibacter bartlettii DSM 16795. Its description in RNAcentral is "bacterial signal recognition particle RNA". It matches the Rfam family "Bacterial small signal recognition particle RNA". Rfam says of the family: The signal recognition particle (SRP) is a universally conserved ribonucleoprotein involved in the co-translational targeting of proteins to membranes. Archaeal SRP consists of a 7S RNA and homologues of the eukaryotic SRP19 and SRP54 proteins. The record is from RNAcentral. Lineage: Bacteria; Bacillati; Bacillota; Clostridia; Peptostreptococcales; Peptostreptococcaceae.
CACUUAGGUCCUAUGCAAUGUAAGCCCAUGAACCCUGUCAGAUCCGGAAGGAAGCAGCAGUAAGUGGUUACUGCAUGUGACGUGGGAGUGCCUAAGUUGAGC